RNA transcript from Nymphaea colorata (pocket water lily), 2864 nucleotides. RefSeq lists it as uncharacterized. The record is from RefSeq and is a predicted model, not a curated record. NCBI's taxonomy places the organism in Eukaryota, Viridiplantae, Streptophyta, Magnoliopsida, Nymphaeales, Nymphaeaceae. The transcript has 5 exons.
UUGAUUUCCGCCACUUUCUCUCUCUUCUCCCCGCGCCACUCCUCACCACUCGUCUUUCCCAACUCGCCAGCGGCAAAAGGUCUUCUCCCUCACGUGUUUCUCCAAACCGACGGUCACUUCCUCUCCCUUCAUCGUUUUCUUGGUCUUCUCCUCACCCACUCGACCGACGGAUUGGCGGCUGAAAGAUCCACGGUGUGCUCCAGCGUCCCGCUGCUCCAACAGUCCACGAAUACCCCUCUUUCACUUACGGCAAUCAAGGUGCAUUCUUUCCCAAUCCCAAGGAAAGUUUAGAGGCCAGAUCUACCCUUAGGAAGGCUGCAAUCCGACUAGGCGACUAGAAAGGUUGCAGCAAUCGACUUCACGUAAAGCAAAUUCAGGUUAGUAAGAUGGGUUUUGGGCUAAAAUUGUGUAACGUCGUUGGGCUGAUUUGGAAUUGGGUUCGGCCAAAGAUUGGCGUUCAUUCCAUCGGUGUAAACUCGCAAGUUUGAGCGACUUUUCCACGGUGGAAACCAGUUUUAAAUCCGUUCUUAUGAGUCAGAAGGAAAACCCAUUGUCUCCCGUGCUAUUUCCCAAAGAUUCAACCACGUUUCACCGGCAAAUCUAUUCCAAAAGGCCAUGGUUGAAGCCUCGGUUUCAGCCUUCUAGCUCGCCGGAAAAAAACAAGAAAAAGAAUACAAAAUCUGUGAAAAAGGGCGUCAAAUCAGCAAGAAGCACUUCAAAGAAGGAUCGCCCAAAGAUAAGAAUUGAUUAGUGAGUUCCAGCGGCUUCAAGAGUGAUAUCGAUGGAGUUCUAGGGUUCGGUCGGAAUUCACAAACUUUCGGCGACCGCAGCUCAUUUCCUGGCAAACAUUUGGUUGGAUCCUGCGUAUGGACCAGAAUACCUUUGGCUAUCGUUAAGAUUAUUCAACAAAUCCAAAGGCAGAAUCGGUAGUAGUGGACUAAGUUGGGGGAUCGCCUAGGGUUUCCUAAAACUAGCCAUUGGUGCACAUUUAGUAAUUUUUGGCCAUCCUCCUCCAAAGAUGGUAAUUUCAUGUAGGGGGAUUAUCGAAAGAAAAGAGAGAGACUCAAGCAUGAUUUAUCCUCUUUCCAUUAACUUGCCCUUGAAGGUGAAACAACAAUGGCUAAUGCUAUAUUGCAAGUGAUACCUGUGUUUGCAUCCCUUGUACCAGUUUUAAGUUCCAAGUCCUCUUCCCAUCGUCUUUGCUGUAGACGCGAUACAAUAGUCGUGAAGACUAUGCUGCAACUGCUACCCAUGUCUGCAUCCCUUGUACCAGUGUUGCCACCAAGUGGAUGUAAGUUUCAGACCUUCAUUGAUUAUCUUACCAGAAGAAGAAAAGAUAGAAGCAGAGAAUUCAUGGUUCGUUCUGAGCAGAGUGACACCCAGUUCGAGAUUGAUCGAGUGAAGGCCAAAGAGGCUCUAAAGGACCUCGAUCAACAACUUUUGAACUUGUCCCAGAGACAAAGUCCAAAAACCAGGUUCCUUUCUUCAAUACCAUAUGCAAGUCGGGUCAGGUCAGGUCCAGACCCGGACCCAAGCUCCACCCGCGUGUGAGCCCGACGCCCUUUUCUCCCUCGUCUUCUUCUCAGACCCCCUCCCCUCUGUUGCCUCUCGUGCCAGCGCAAGGAAGAAGAAGAAGACAGAGGUGCUUGGCGGCGACAAGAACGGCGGCCGUGGUGCUCAGUUUGGGGGACGUGUUCUUUUCCUCGUAACAGCGAUUAGAUGGUGUUGGUGGUGGCAGCAUUGCACGAUUUUUACCGCUUGGGGAUCAAUUGAACGCUUGAGGUGGCUGUCGAGAUGAUUGCAGCAGUCUAGGCUCUAAUUUCUGGGUACACCGGGUACGUCCCGUAGACCUUGAGCGACCAGUUUUGAAGCUUGAGGCAUUUUGAAGAGUUUUAUGGGCACGCGACAAGUUUUGGUGGACCAGGGGCAGCAGGUUGAGCAGAUGACUUCACUCAUUUAUGAGCACAUUCCAUGAUCUAUUGAUCACUCAUUUAUGAGCACAUUCCAUGAUCUAUUGAUCCAUUUUUCUGAUAGUGAAUAACCCUUAUGACGUAUGCUUUAUCAAAAUAACUAGCAAUUUUUCUUGUAUCUUAGAACAUAAAAGAAACCUCCAGCCAUUGUGUUCCCGUAUUGGUUUUCCUUUAGCAUUAAUCUUUGAUGGGUUGUUCUCUGAAACUAGCAUUUUCAUGGCUUACAAAACAUGUAUAAAAUGAGAUCGUUUACAAAAAAAGUAACAAGUAUAAUAUGCAGUUCAUCUGAUUGUAUCGAAUUUAUGUGAGAAUAAUUGUAGAUCUUUGUCAUUUCAAGCUGCCAGAUGUUUAGUAUGACGUUCUUUUAAAUGGCUUUGUUCUCAGAGGCAGAUAUCAAGAAAAGAGAGCCAAUUGCUGCUGGGCUGGAAACAGAAGAUGUGCCAGAUGUUUCAGGAUCAUAUUUGGCAUAUAUUGCUACCUUUCUGGUCGUAAUAACUGUUCUUAAUAAUAUAGCAUUCAAUAUAUUUAUCAAACCAUCUGUUGAUAAUAAAGGGCCUCCACCUGCUAGUGCUAGUGCCAAAUUGUUCCAGGAGGAGAUACGGCAGGUUCCAACAUUGUAAAGCUAAGAAUAUGCUUGUCCAUCAAUCAAGGAGAAAGAGGAUGCAAUUUCGUUGCUUGAUGUACCUACAUUCUUUAUGAUGCUCAUUAAGAUGAGACAAGUCAUGCAUGGUUAGCAUUAGGACAGAUGGGUGUCUCCAUAGCCAUUUUAUCCUAACCGUUCAUCGAGUAUGUGCCUUUGCGGUUUACACCUGCAAUCCCAUUGUAAUUGGUUAAUCAUCUACAAUCAUGAAACUUUGUGGGGCUAUUCGAAGCUUGGUUGGAGCUUUGUUUUUA